Molecule: ribosomal RNA, 253 nt
Filed under: uncultured bacterium
Lineage: Bacteria
Description: partial 16S ribosomal RNA
Rfam family: Bacterial small subunit ribosomal RNA
Source: RNAcentral
UACGUAGGGUGCAAGCGUUAAUCGGAAUUACUGGGCGUAAAGCGUGCGCAGGCGGUCGUGCAAGACAGAUGUGAAAUCUCGGAGCUUAACUCCGAAACUGCAUUCGAUACUGCCGUGCUUGAGGACUGGAGAGGAGACUGGAAUUUACGGUGUAGCAGUGAAAUGCGUAGAUAUCGUAAGGAAGACCAGUGGCGAAGGCGGGUCUCUGGACAGUUCCUGACGCUGAGGCACGAAGGCCAGGGGAGCAAACGGG